This 19-nucleotide microRNA is filed under the name Schistosoma mansoni. RNAcentral describes it as "sma-miR-8426-3p". The record is from miRBase by way of RNAcentral. Lineage: Eukaryota; Metazoa; Platyhelminthes; Trematoda; Strigeidida; Schistosomatidae.
AUCGUGAUGUAGCCCUUGU